This 228-nucleotide ribosomal RNA is filed under the name uncultured bacterium. RNAcentral's name for it is "partial 16S ribosomal RNA". It matches the Rfam family "Bacterial small subunit ribosomal RNA", at positions 122 to 334 of the family's 1533-position model. The record is from RNAcentral.
UAAUCUACCUUCCGGCGGGGGACAACAGUCCGAAAGGAUUGCUAAUACCGCGUACGUCGGCAGGGUCUACGGACCUUGUCGGGAAAGAUGGCCUCUCCUUGGAAGCUGUCACCGGAAGAUGAGCCCGCGGCCCAUCAGCUAGUUGGUGAGGUAACGGCUCACCAAGGCUUAGACGGGUAGCUGGUCUGAGAGGAUGAUCAGCCACACUGGGACUGCGACACGGCCCAG